Molecule: long non-coding RNA, 3640 nt
Organism: Cylas formicarius (sweet potato weevil)
Lineage: Eukaryota; Metazoa; Arthropoda; Insecta; Coleoptera; Brentidae
Exons: 3
Source: RefSeq, a predicted model, not a curated record
CGUGUCGAGUUUAAACGUGGAAGUGUAUUUGUUUGUUAACUUUUAGAAAGUAUUAACUGCACCAUUUUCGAUUCGAACGCACCGUAUAAAUGCGAGUCAUUUUUCUAUUUUGUCAGUGUUAAGUUUGUUGUUUGAUAUCAUAAGUACAAUGCGGAAGUUAACUUAGUGGUUUGGUGUUCGUACCAAAAAGCAGUUUUAAAGAUCAUCUUAGUACUCCCACCCCGUAACCACAACUAGAACAGCAGCAAUCUUAAAUAUGAACUUAAGUCAACUGAAUCAAACCUGUCUCGCAGAGGGAGAAUUUGAAAAACCGAUUGUCAAAUUGUAUGACUUGGCGCUAGGCGUUCCGUUCAAAAUUACGAGCGCCAAAAUUGUUACAAUUAGAAAAUUCCGUAGUAUUUCUUCCUACUCGUGUGACAGAAGCUUUCCGUCCGAGACUAGAAAAAUUUGCAUCGGGGGAGUACAAACUGGUCUACGAGGGAGCCAAAGAUAUUGGAAAGACCAACUCUUUACAAAAAUUUAAAAUAAUUCAAAAUUGAUCUACAUAUUAUACAGGGCAAGUAUUAUUUACUGUUAUAUAUAGUAAAUCCCGAUGAGCGUAAAGCAGAUCAUUCAUAGAGCGCAAAUUUUAAUUUUUCCUUACAAAAAUUAAAAAACCAUAUUUUCGACAAGUUCACUGUUAGAGAUAGUGAUGUGUGACUUAGGAGACUAAAUAAAAAUAUUGAAUCUUGCAACCAAAUCGUUUCUAUGGAAAAUGAUUUAUCUAUUGGUUAAAAAUAAAAUUACAAACGACAAUUCAACGUCUUAAAGCUAUUAGAAAAAUUAUUCUUAAUCACCAACAUAAGCAUUUUGGAUUAGGAUUACAAAGCAGCAGCGGCGAGACAAAUAUAAAUCAAAUGGUUGUAUGGGAAUCGGAAGCGUAAAUAAUUUUUUAUUAUAUUUUUAUUGCAGAUCAUGGUCAAACAACUCACAUUAGAAAGCCUUUGUAGUAAAACAAUUUGCGAAAAUAUUAGGUGUAGUGCUGAUUUCUUGCUUGAGUCACCGUUAUCUUGGAAACUAACGAUACUAACAUUUAAAUAUUAUAUCUGAUGAGAAUUCUCUAUUACAUUUAGAAUUAAUUCUGUUGAAUAAGAUAUUUGGACCGUCUUAUGGAAAUAGCAUUUUGGCAACUCCAACCAUUGAUUUUUAUGGGUCAGUUAUUACAGGAUGAAAUAUGCGGAAAUUUUAGUUUGUAAAUCUUGCCACUCGAUAUUUCUUUAUAUUUCAACUGGGUAAAAAUAUAAAAAGAAAAAUUUUGUAUUUGUUUUGGAUUACAAUAAACAAUUUUGGUGUCAAAGCUGCUUUGAAGAAGUUUUGUUCAAUGUAAUGUGUUAAUGCUUCACGGUGACGCGAAAUAUGGAAAAAAGUUACGCUUGUCUGAUCGCAGGUCUUCUAUGUUCUGUGGUUUAUUAUAAAUAUAUAACCGUAAAUAAGGCUUUUAUGUAAUGAUGUAUUAACACCACAUAAUAAUUACACAGAAGUUUGGAUUUGUAUAAUUUACUUAUUAUAUACAUUAUUACUACUUUAAGUUCUCGUUAAAAGCUAAAUUAUUUCGUUGAUAUUGCACUCUAAUCGCGCCAACUGAGACUCCAAGUUCCUUUUUAAGUUGAAGGCAUCACAAAUGACACUUUUUUCUUUGCCGUCCCUGAACACUUCGAGCCAAUCUGUUAACGGCGUUGGAGCUGCAAACGCUUCAAUUGUCGUAGUUUUCUUCUUCUUCUUGCGGGAUACGAUCGACGCACUUUGUUUUCGUUUUGUCGCAGAUUUUUUGGUUUCUUGUUGCUAUUGUUCUACAGGAACGAGGCUGGAUCACUUCUGACUGAGGAAAUUGCAACUCGAAAUUUUCCAAUCAAUUAUACAAUUCGUUGGAUGUCACAAUUUGCUCCUGAGUCAUCAUGCGCACGUAUUUAUCUUAGAACUUAUUAAUUUAUUUCAACCCGUCUACGUCGUCUACCCACGAGUCGUGCGAGUUAUCCAAUCCCAACCAGCGCACUAGAACGAUAUUGCCUAGUUUGCGCAACACCUUUUCGACGAGAUAUAAGUCAGGGUUAACUGUAUUCUGAAUUUUUUUUUUCAUAAAACCCGCCCAUAAUGAGUUUACCCUGCAUAUCUUGAAGCAAACACGUUACGGGGUUAGUAACCCGCACUUUAACAAUUUUAAAUAAUUCCGUGGUCCAAUUCGGUGUAUAACCUUUGUUAGACUCGUGUUUGACUUUGCUGAUUAAAACGAUGUAACCGACUUUAAGUUUACGAGGACCGAAUAUUUUUAUGCGACUAUACGCGGUUUUCAAAAUUCUCUUUUCGUUGCUCUUACUCAGAUCGAUCGGUUUCGUACCUUUCGUUCUGUGUUUUGUGUUAUUGUAUUCUUCAACGGUAGAGGCGAGCACAUCGAUCUAUUCGUAGGUGCCGCGUAAAGAAAAAUGUCGAAAUAAUUUCUCUUUGAGAGUACUUUGGGAUUGAGGUUAUGUGCGAUUUUUUGCUCCUUAACCGGCCUAUUAUUACUACUUUUAAUUCAUGCAAUGCAAGCAAGUUCAAUUCAUCAACAACCAAUGCAGGAGGAAUCCAGAAGAUUUGUAAAUAGUAUUGCAAUAGCCUGUAAAAAAAGUUAGUAGCGUAUAUCUUUUUGACAAUACGUUAUAUUCGUUAAGAUACCUCUAGGGACGGCACUGGAUUUAACAAUUUUAAUCUGGUUGUAACAAAAAUAGAACUUUGUUACUGUAAGUGACAAAUUGGAACAAGGUCGGGCGGUUUUUUUAAAUAUUAUGAUGAUGAUGAUCUCUUGGUUCCUGUCAAAUCAGUUAAAACGAAUUGACAUAUUUUAUUUCUCAGACAACUUGCACUUGAUUCAGGUGAAUAAGUUUACAUUACAAAGCCUUUGAUAAAGUUUCGCAUCGAUGCUUGUAAUUUAAACGUGAAAUUAAAAAUAAUAAUAAAAAAUAAACUUUAGACAUAAAGCAAUGGUUGUUUGGUUAAAAACCUGGGGGAAACUUAAGUAAAAACAUAAUUUGAAUUGAAAUUUUGAAUAUUCGGAAUGGCAAAAAUUCAAAUGAUUUACAAAAUUUUUAAUUUGGUUGAGGUCGGGAGGGAUCUUUGGAAGGUCAUAACUUAUCGCAGAAAUGUAUGCAAAAUUUCAAAUCGGUUGGCCAUUUAUUACAUUGAGUACUAUCAACUACAAACUACAAACUAAAAAAUUAAACUAACUAGUAAAAUGAAGUUCAUGAAAACCUCAUUUGAUGUUAGGACUUAUAAAAAAAACGAAGGGUUUGAUUUCUUAAAAGUACGAGUUAAACUUGACUUGAAAAGUAAAUCUUUAAUUUCACUUUAUUUCAGAAACCUAAUACCAAGGUAGAAUUCACCGCUGUUUUCAAAAAUAGCGAGGUGCCCCCACUACUUUCAACACGCUUUUCAUUGGGAUUGCAUCGCAGAAAAUUUAUAAACUCCGUUGGACAUACGAGUUGAAAACUCUUCCGCCUAAGUUGCUUCAAAAGACUAUUAAACGAUGCGGCGAAGGCACUCGCGUACUAUCCAAACUAACUUACUAAAACUGAUUAAAACUAAAUAAAUGUAAUAUGGAAUCGCUAUGGAAGUUUUCAAAAAAUUA